RNAcentral lists this long non-coding RNA (256 nucleotides) under Gallus gallus (chicken). The record is from RNAcentral. Lineage: Eukaryota; Metazoa; Chordata; Aves; Galliformes; Phasianidae.
CAGGACACGCAGAAGGCGAAGCAGUUCCUGCCGUUCCUGCAGCGCGCCGGCCGCUCGGAGGCCGUGGUUGAAUACGUCUUCAGCGGCUCUCGCCUCAAACUCUUCCUGCCCAAGGAGACGUGUCUCAUCACCUUCCUGCUGGCCGGCAUCGAAUGCCCCCGCGGUGCACGCAACCUCCCGGGAUGGUGCAAGAAGGGGAACCCUUCAGCGAGGAAGCAACGCAGUUCACCAAGGAGCUGGUGCUGCAACGGGAGGU